GGGGAUAAGCGGAAGAAAUUCCGUCUAAUACCGCGUAAUAACUCCGAGAGGCAUCUCCUGGGGUUUAAAGGGUAACACCGGCUACGGAUGGCCAUGCGGCGCAUUAGCUAGUUGGCGGGGUAACGGCCCACCAAGGCGACGAUGCGUAGGGGUUCUGAGAGGAAGGUCCCCCACACUGGUACUGAGACACGGACCAGACUCCUACGGGAGGCAGCAGUGAGGAAUAUUGGUCAAUGGGCGCGAGCCUGAACCAGCCAAGUCGCGUGAGGGAAGACGGUCCUAUGGAUUGUAAACCUCUUUUGUCGGGGAGCAAAAGGCGCCACGCGUGGCGUUCCGAGAGUACCCGAAGAAAAAGCAUCGGCUAACUCCGUGCCAGCAGCCGCGGUAAUACGGAGGAUGCGAGCGUUAUCCGGAUUUAUUGGGUUUAAAGGGUGCGCAGGCGGAAGAUCAAGUCAGCGGUAAAAUUGAGAGGCUCAACCUCUUCGAGCCGUUGAAACUGGUUUUCUUGAGUGAGCGAGAAGUAUGCGGAAUGCGUGGUGUAGCGGUGAAAUGCAUAGAUAUCACGCAGAACUCCGAUUGCGAAGGCAGCAUACCGGCGCUCAACUGACGCUCAUGCACGAAAGUGUGGGUAUCGAACAGGAUUAGAUACCCUGGUAGUCCACACAGUAAACGAUGAA
This 677-nucleotide ribosomal RNA is filed under the name uncultured bacterium. RNAcentral describes it as "bacterial SSU rRNA". It matches the Rfam family "Bacterial small subunit ribosomal RNA", at positions 139 to 813 of the family's 1533-position model. The record is from RNAcentral.